This 582-nucleotide long non-coding RNA is filed under the name Callithrix jacchus (white-tufted-ear marmoset). Its description in RNAcentral is "lncRNA (ENSCJAG00000069997.1)". Lineage: Eukaryota; Metazoa; Chordata; Mammalia; Primates; Cebidae. The record is from RNAcentral.
GGAAAGGGAAGGCUGCUUUGAUCUUUGAAAAUUAUGACUAUAAAUAAUGCCUAUUCAAAUAUUGGCUCAACAGUGAUUGCUUUUGAGUUGUUUUUAGAAUCUUUCUAAAGCCCUCUUUCCUCCUUUGGAUGUGUUAGAUGCUGAUCAAAUUCAAAUUCCCACAUCAUAUGUAUAUAUCUGAAGUAUAUUUGACAAACAGAUGCUGUACUGUAUCUCAGCACUCCUCUGCAACCUUCCCACAGAACAGACUUCUAAAGGAAACAUUUGGCCAGAGGACAAGGCCCAGCAAACAUGCAUUCUUUUUACUACUAUUCCAGUAUAACUCCUGAAACUCAUGGCACUAAAAAAUACUUACCAUGUAAAUAUUGACUGACUGGACAAUGAAAGUGAAGAAUGAAAUGGUAUUAUUCAACAAAAGGAUAUUAGUAACUACAAUAUGCUUCUUAGACAGGUAAGCUUGAUCAGUUAUAACCAUUUGCAAACACUGAAAGGAAUUGCAUGAGUAUAUUGGUAUCUCUGAGAAUAAUUUGGUGAUAUAAAAACCCAGCAAAACAAUAAAUCGAUAGAAAAACUUACAGGAUG